AAUGCAAGUCGAACGAACUCUGGUAUUGAUUGGUGCUUGCAUCAUGAUUUACAUUUGAGUGAGUGGCGAACUGGUGAGUAACACGUGGGAAACCUGCCCAGAAGCGGGGGAUAACACCUGGAAACAGAUGCUAAUACCGCAUAACAACUUGGACCGCAUGGUCCGAGCUUGAAAGAUGGCUUCGGCUAUCACUUUUGGAUGGUCCCGCGGCGUAUUAGCUAGAUGGUGGGGUAACGGCUCACCAUGGCAAUGAUACGUAGCCGACCUGAGAGGGUAAUCGGCCACAUUGGGACUGAGACACGGCCCAAACUCCUACGGGAGGCAGCAGUAGGGAAUCUUCCACAAUGGACGAAAGUCUGAUGGAGCAACGCCGCGUGAGUGAAGAAGGGUUUCGGCUCGUAAAACUCUGUUGUUAAAGAAGAACAUAUCUGAGAGUAACUGUUCAGGUAUUGACGGUAUUUAACCAGAAAGCCACGGCUAACUACGUGCCAGCAGCCGCGGUAAUACGUAGGUGGCAAGCGUUGUCCGGAUUUAUUGGGCGUAAAGCGAGCGCAGGCGGUUUUUUAAGUCUGAUGUGAAAGCCUUCGGCUCAACCGAAGAAGUGCAUCGGAAACUGGGAAACUUGAGUGCAGAAGAGGACAGUGGAACUCCAUGUGUAGCGGUGAAAUGCGUAGAUAUAUGGAAGAACACCAGUGGCGAAGGCGGCUGUCUGGUCUGUAACUGACGCUGAGGCUCGAAAGUAUGGGUAGCAAACAGGAUUAGAUACCCUGGUAGUCCAUACCGUAAACGAUGAAUGCUAAGUGUUGGAGGGUUUCCGCCCUUCAGUGCUGCAGCUAACGCAUUAAGCAUUCCGCCUGGGGAGUACGGCCGCAAGGCUGAACUCAAAGGAAUUGACGGGGGCCCGCACAAGCGGUGGAGCAUGUGGUUUAAUUCGAAGCUACGCGAAGAACCCUUACCAGGUCUUGACAUACUAUGCAAAUCUAAGAGAUUAGACGUUCCCUUCGGGGACAUGGAAAACAGGUGGUGCAUGGUGUCGUCAGCUCGUGUCGUGAGAUGUUGGGUAAGUCCCGCACGAGCGCAACCCUUAUUAUCAGUUGCCAGCAUAAAGUUGGCACCUCUGGUGAGACU
RNAcentral lists this ribosomal RNA (1128 nucleotides) under Lactiplantibacillus plantarum. RNAcentral describes it as "bacterial SSU rRNA". It matches the Rfam family "Bacterial small subunit ribosomal RNA", at positions 54 to 1150 of the family's 1533-position model. Lineage: Bacteria; Bacillati; Bacillota; Bacilli; Lactobacillales; Lactobacillaceae. The record is from RNAcentral.